This 3428-nucleotide long non-coding RNA is filed under the name Homo sapiens (human). RNAcentral describes it as "long independently transcribed non-coding RNA 1145 (LINC01145)". Lineage: Eukaryota; Metazoa; Chordata; Mammalia; Primates; Hominidae. The record is from RNAcentral.
GGUUGGUCCCGGCGGGGGAAGGAGAAAGUGAGACUCGGUGUCAUCACCAAUCCGUCGCCAGAAGGGGAGGAAACUGGAAUCCAGCAGCGGCGAGCAGCAGCUGGGCGGUCACAUCUGGAAAUGGAAAGCCGACCUCCCCCUCCUCCUCCACCUCUUCCUCCUCCUCCUCCUCCUCCUCUCACCCAGGAUCACUUCCGAAACCACUUGGCCUUCAGCCCCUGCCUCGGCCAGAGGUUUCAUUUUUAACUGAAUAUUUACGAAAGCUGAAAGCGUGCGAGGGGGGUGGGGUGGAAAUAGCGGCUGCUUCUUUUCCAAGGAUUUAUUUAAUGGGGAUGUGUUCAAGGCAAGACCGAAUUCAGAAGGAUAUCGACGUCGUGAUCCAGAAGUCCAGAGCUGAGGACUGCCUGUUUGCAGGACAACUGUGCAGACUACAAAGCUUCGGAAAACCGGAGAGGCUGAGUCGACUAAUCGUGUUGUUGCACGUUAGAAACGCUUGCAUUGCCUGACUCUGAAACCAGAAGGGCGGCCGAAUGGCCUUCACCCUCCAUUAACCCUCGCCUCCUUCAGAAGCCAGUGCCUCUGGAAAUGCCUGGAUCUGCGACCCCAGCCUGAGCCUAGUAGGGCCCAAGGGAAGCUGAACGCCCCGACGGCUCUCAUGAAAUCACAGAGAUCAGCAACUCUAGAGUGCGAUGAAGAAGCUUCACUCUGGGAGAACCCCCUUCGUGACCACGGUCUCUUUCCUGCCAGGGCACCGGCAACAGUUUUCCGUUUGUGCCUACUCCACCUGCUGUCUUUGUUGGGUCAGCGAACAUCGCCUCCCUCUACCGCUCAAUCAGCAAAAGGGACCGCCCUUGAGGACCUCACCCGCGGCUCACUCCCCUCCCAACUUCGCGGGCAUCGCCUCCGGUCGCCUCUUCCGAAGGCCUAACGAGCAUGUUAGCUGCGAACGGAGGUGAGGAGGCUCCGCUGACUGACCGGUGCCCAUGUCCAGGGCACGCACAAACGCCAUGACUUGGCUUGGCCUCUCUCUUAGUUAUUCACAAGCUCAGCCCGAUAGGCACCUCUGGGGCGGCGACGGCAAAGAGGGUGCGCUUAUUAAGUGCAGCUCCACGGGGACUGGCCUCUGCACGGCUGUGUACACCUGAGCGAGACGCUCAGUCGCUCUCUAAAGCCGCUUCUGCGGAUGACAGACACGGAGAUAAACGUGAGAGGUGGCCCACCACGACUUGCCCUCCUUUGCCCGGGUUUGCCCCUCGCUGCGGAGGCUGUUCUACAUCUGGCCCUUGGAGCAGGCCGGCUGACAGCGUGGUAAAGGAAGAUUUCUGCGGGAGGGCGGCCAGUGCAAAACAAUUCCCUGACCGGGAAUCGAACCCGGGCCGUGGCGCUUUCAGCACCGAAUCCUAGCCACUAGACAACCAUGCAGAUGCGGAAAGCUGCUUUCUCUCCCUUCUUCGACCUGAAGCGACACUUUCCUGUGCUCUAGGAGGACUUGGGUCUUGUGAGAGUCUCCCUUUGCUCCUGGAGUCGUCUCACAAGGCCGUUCACUCCCUGCUUUCUUCAAAAAAAGAACCUGCAGGCGACACACCAAGGGCUCCACGAGGGAGUCCUGAGUACUGGAGCGAGUUGCGGCCACGCGGCCGCAGCUCACCACUGGCCUAGAGAUGCCCUUUGCCAGGCGGCAGCAACUGACAAGAUGGUCGCGGGUCGCCGGGUCCGGAGCCGCCCACCAGGUUGCCAGGAGGAGGCGGGAGCGGGGAGGCGCCCGAGGUGAGACGGGGGCACCCUCUGCAUCAUAAAGGACCCAGACCCCGGCACCCUCAACAUCAUAAGGAAUCAGACGGAUGCGGAAACCGAGGCGGGCUGGAUAGGAAACUCUUUCCAGGAAGGCUCCGGGGCACUCAACUGGUCUCCAACCUUCCCCUGCAACCUGUGACGCCUGCCAUUUUCCCAUUUUAGGCGAUGGCAACGCAACCCCUCCGUUUGCUCUGGGCAAAACUUCGAGAGUUCCCUCUGAAGCUGGAGCUUUUUCCUCAGAUCCAAGAUCCAAUUGGUCACCAAUUCGUGAUUUCCGUCGGCCAAGUGCGUGGGCAUUGAUCUACACGCGAGUUUCUCCACCUCUGCCGAAUGGCUACUUCGGGGUGGGGGAGGGGCCCUCCCGCCGUGGAUUGCAAGGUGUUUAGCAGCAUCUGUCUCCUCCGCUGACUAGACACAUGCCAGGGGGAUAACAUUCUCCCUCCCGCUUCCCCCAGCCGCGGCCUAGUGUCCCAGCGGGGUUGGGAGAGGCAUGUGAGGGCGAAGUUGCCCCCUGUUGAGAACCAUUGCUGCGCGUAGUCCUUCUCUCUGAACUUGUGCAGAGGACUCUCCAGGUGAAGGCUCAAGGGUGGAUCCAGCUCGAGACACCCUCGCUCCCCCUCACAGUCGGACCUUAGGAUUUAGGCUUUAACAUCUCCACAUCAUGAGAUUCGAAACCUUUAGGUCUUGUCUUCCGUUCUGUCCUCCAAAUCGGCCUCUUCCGAGCCUGUUGACCAGGGCCAGCCGGGCAGAGGGCUGGGCUCGCUCAACGAGGCUCCUCUCGCACCUCCUGGAGCUUCAGGCUUCUUUCCGUUGCAGAGAAGCUUUAUGGGCCAAUUCGUUCGGCAUCCCCGGGGGCAGGUGCGCGGUGCGCGGGGAAGAAGAGGAUUUGACUGCGGUUCUCCACCCCCGGCGCCCAACCUCCACCCCGGUGCGCGCGCUCUUCCAGGCUCCUGCUGGUCCCACUUGCCAGGAGUUAGGUCUCAGGUCAGCCUGAGCUCCUGAGACGCCCAGGCCCGGAAAGACACGUAGGGGAAACCAUCUGCUCACUUCUGUCCUGUCCGGAAGGGAUCCCUUUCUGACGGGAAAGAAAGGCGCUAAACAAGCACUGGCCUUGAGAUAAGCAAUGCUGAAGCACUUGCAGCUCACCUAUUACCAUAAACUGACUGAGCCCUCCCUACACAAGCCGUAACUACUGCUUUGAUUGGACAAGAGACUGAUUUCAGUAGUUUUCUCUUGAUAAGAGACCACUGGCCGUGGGCGGGUUCUGGACAGUUUACAGAAGCUAUGCACUUGAUUGCCUUUGUGUCCCUGCUUCACCUUUUGAAGCAUAGGGCCUAAUUAUAAUGUAUUUAAAUGUUGUCUCCACCCCAAAGUGAACAUGGGUUGCAUGUAACAGGCAUGUUUACUCAGCAUGCAUGCAGCAGGAUCCCUUCACAAAUAUUCAGAGCUCCCCCUAUUCCCUGUUGAAUAUGUAUAUGUGGCCAGCCAGAUCAACGUAAAUCACUAUUCGCCCUCCCCUCCCUGGAAACCUACUUUUCGGGUUUCAGCAGGAAGCUAUGCCUCCCAGUCUGUCAGAAUGGCCACUUGCAGGCUGUAACCCUUUAUAAAAAAAUAAAAUCUCCUUUCUAAAUUUA